Molecule: ribosomal RNA, 546 nt
Filed under: Genea pseudoverrucosa
Lineage: Eukaryota; Fungi; Ascomycota; Pezizomycetes; Pezizales; Pyronemataceae
Description: LSU rRNA
Rfam family: Eukaryotic large subunit ribosomal RNA
Source: RNAcentral
AGUAACUGCGAGUGAAGUGGCAAAAGCUCAAAAUUGAAAUCCGGUACCUCUGGUGCCUGAGUUGUAAUUUGGAGAGACAAAUUUGGUUGACGGUGCCGGCCUAGGUUCCUUUGAACAGGACAACGCAGAGGGUGAGAAUCCCGUGCCUGGCUGGACUGCCGUCGCGCUUCUAAAUUGUCUUCGACGAGUCGAGUUGUUUGGGAAUGCAGCUCAAAAUGGGUGGUAAAUGUCAUCUAAAGCUAAAUAUUGGCGAGAGACCGAUAGCGCACAAGUAGAGUGAUCGAAAGAUGAAAAGCACUUUGAAAAGAGAGUCAAAAAGUACGUGAAAUUGCUGAAAGGGAAGCGCUUGAGACCAGACUCGAACCGUGGUGAUCAGCCGUGCUUCUGUGCGGUGUCACUUGCCACGGUUCGGGCCAGCAUCGGUUCUGGCGGCCGGAUAAAAGGCGGUGGAAUGUAGCUUCCUUUGGGGAGUGUUAUUAGCCCCCACCACAAUGCGGCCAGCCGGGACCGAGGACCGCGCGGGCUUCCCGCUAGGAUGCUGGCGUA